UGUCCCCACGCAGGGUCCCCGCAGAGGUCCCUCCCCAGCAGAACCGCCCCAAGCAGAGAUCAGCGCCCGCAGUGGUGGGCUGCAGGUGCCCUGCCCCGACAGGAGCUGUGCCCUGCCCCGGCAGGAGGUGGGCAGGGGGAAUCGGGGGAAGCAGGGGCUCUGCUUGGGCGAGGAGAACAGUUAUCAUUAAUGCUUGCUUUCUCUUUGCUUAUCUUCUCAAAAUGCUCAGCUCACGCAUCCCCUCGGGAGAGAGGACAGCAUGAUAUAUUGAGGGGCCCUCUCCAUCUCAGUCCUGGCCUUGUAAGACCCCUAUCCCCAGGAGACCCCACUCUGGGGUGCUUUCUCCCACGUCCAGCCCUGCACAUCAGGGCUGCUCCUUGGCAAAGCCAAGGACUUGGCCGCCGCCUCCUUCCUGUGUCUCAGCAGGGUGAGUCAGUGCCUCGCCGUGCCCAGAGCCAGCUCUGCCCGGAGCCUGGUCACUGCCAAGCCGGAAUGGGGGACAUCCACUGCGCCCUUUGCUGUAGCCGGCAGGGAGUUUCCAGUGUCUGUGGUGUGUCCCGCCUGUCCCGUCCUCAGCGUGUUCCUCUCACUGUCUGCAUAACAAAAGAUAACUGGCAAAGCUUGCCUGCCCCGGGCCAAAAGGUUAGAGGGGACAGAAGUGGCGCUGAAGAGUCUCCACUUCUGCCCUCGCCCUUACCGCGAAUGCCCAGGUCACGAGCCCAGGGUGGAAUGUCACCUCUUCUCCCCACGACACGGAGUCCAGCUCCAGCCAAA
This is a long non-coding RNA of Ficedula albicollis (Collared flycatcher), 774 nucleotides long. RefSeq lists it as uncharacterized. The record is from RefSeq and is a predicted model, not a curated record. The transcript is spliced from 3 exons. Lineage: Eukaryota; Metazoa; Chordata; Aves; Passeriformes; Muscicapidae.